UACGUAGGGGGCAAGCGUUGUCCGGAAUCAUUGGGCGUAAAGAGCGCGUAGGCGGUCCGGUAAGUCCGCUCUGAAAGUCCGGGGCUCAACCCCGGGAGGCGGGCGGAUACUGUCGGGCUAGAGUCCGGAAGAGGCGAGUGGAAUUCCUGGUGUAGCGGUGAAAUGCGCAGAUAUCAGGAGGAACACCGAUGGCGAAGGCGGUUCUCUGGGCCUUACCUGACACUGAGGAGCGAAAGCGUGGGGAGCGAACAGG
This 253-nucleotide ribosomal RNA is filed under the name uncultured bacterium. RNAcentral's name for it is "partial 16S ribosomal RNA". It matches the Rfam family "Bacterial small subunit ribosomal RNA", at positions 524 to 776 of the family's 1533-position model. The record is from RNAcentral.